This 2517-nucleotide long non-coding RNA is filed under the name Triticum aestivum (bread wheat). Its description in RNAcentral is "long non-coding RNA (TAES_LNC007047)". Lineage: Eukaryota; Viridiplantae; Streptophyta; Magnoliopsida; Poales; Poaceae. The record is from RNAcentral.
AAAUAUACAAAGAUUACGUAUCAUUUCAUUGAUAUGAGUGAAACAACAAAAUUUGGCAAUGCACAGAGCCGCCGACACGAACCUGCUUGGUGCGCAAUCACAAGAGCAGAACAGAGAAGUGGGUUGCUCAGCCCACAACAUCACCGGCAGGAUCACAUCCUAAAUGUAUUGUAUUUUCUAGAUCUAUAUUAGUACCUACAAAACCUACAUACUCCCUUCGUCCUGAAAUUCAUGUACAGUGUACGUUUUGCAAAAAACACCUCACAAUUUUAAAACAGUAGCAAGCACGUCCUUGACUCCUUCUGCUUCCUCUGUCCGCCGCCCGUGCGUCGCCAGGGGCCAGGGGCCGGCGCCGCGGGAUUCCGCCGCCGUGCUGGAGAUUCCUGCACUCACGGCCCACCCGCAACCACGCACCGCCGCCCACCCGCCACCAGCUGCCCGCGGAUUCCGCCGCCCAACGCCGCGACCACCAGGCGAGCCGGUCCUCGAUCCGUCGCGACCACCUGCCGGCGACCACCUGUGUGAUAACGCCGCCCACCUGCGCGACCAGCCACUGCGGCGCCGCCCACCUCGACCUGCACCGCUGCCAACCCGUCUCUGCUACUUUGAGACUCCGAUCGCCGGCCCCGUCUCUGCUGCUGGGAGAUUCCGAUCGCCAGCCCAGUCUCUCCUUCCCCUCCGACUCCUUCCUCGCCGACUGUGCUGCCCCCCGACGCCUACUGCUGCUGCUGCUUCAACCAAACGAACUCUGCUGCUGCUUUGAAUUGUCCUGCUUCGACCAAAAUUCAGUGGAAUUGCCCGGCCUCUGCUGCUGCUGCUGCUAGGUAGGCAGUCCUGCGAAAUUGGUAAUGUUAGUUUGGAAACAUUCAAUCAUGUUAAUUAUGGAAACAUUCCAUCAUGUUAAUUAUCGAAACAUUAGAUCAGGAAAUGGGAUUCUGUUACUUUUGGAAACAUUCAAUCAUGUUAAUUAUGGAAACAUUAGAUCAGGAAAUGAAUUUUGUUAAUUUUGGAAACAAUUGAACCAUGUUAACUUCGGAAACAUUAAAUCAGACAAGAUUUUGGCAACUGGAAUUACUACGACAUGGAUUAUGGACUCUCACCUGAUCAUCAUCUAUGUUCAGGUUCUAAAAAUAUUCAAUUAGACAGUUUGGACUUGUGGCUGUACUUUGCUAUUUAAAUAUGUUCAGGUUGUAAAAAUGGGACAGCAAUAUAACAUCAAGCAAAACUCUUGCAAAUUUUUAGUUUCGACAGUGUCAAAGAAUACAGUAGUUUUGAGAGUAAUUUUGAUAAUUCAAGCAAAUUAAUUUUUACAACCUGAUAAUUUUGAUAAUUCCAAACAAAGAGUUGGGGCAUCCCUGUUUGACAAACCACUCUCAAAAAAUGACCUGUAAUUUUGUAAUUUACUCCAAAUCACGAAGAGAUACGACAACCAUAUGUCCAAAUCAUGAAUCACAACAAGAAACUCUAAAGUUGAAUGAUGUGAAGUGGAUGAACUAAAGAAGGACCAAGCAUGUUGUGUGUUGUAUGCCAGGUUUCAGUUAAUCUUCUGUAUGAACUAAAGAAGUAAAUGAUGUAAACAGAGCUUGAUCCCCAGGUUUCAGGUUUCAGGAUGUAGAAAGUUCACUUAACAUAGUUAUUGAUCACCUAGUCAAGUCUGUGAUCACCUAGUCUGUGGUGUGACAAAUGGAGGGGCAUCAACCUGCACCUGUCUGACGAUGCAUUUUUUUGGGGUUCACAUAUCAUACAAGUUCAGAGAUAAAAACAAGAUCUCCUAACAAUCUACUCUAGGAUAAAAAUAUAACUCUGUUUAGUGCUAGCUUUCUUCCUAACAAAGUUACUGCUCCUAAAUAUGGACACACAAUUUUUUUUUUUUGAUUUACACAAGAUCUCACAGUGAAGGACAAUAUGGGGUACUCCUACUCCUGAUGUAGUUGCAGCUACUCCUAUUCCUUCUUCUACUCUAGCUGCAGUAAGCAAUAUCACCAGCCAAACAAUAUCUGCAGUAGUAUCUCAACAAGCAGUACUUGCUGCUAUGGAUGCGGCCAUGGAUGCAUCAAACAAGUUUUAAAAUCAAAUUUAAACAAUGCUGCUAUUCAAAAAUUAGAUGGAAAAAGCUCAAGAUAAUUAAUCAUGACUACUGUCACAUGACAGAUUACUCCUGUACAGUACUGUGCCAUUUUUUAAGUGCAGACUAAUUCUAUAAGUGCACGUUAAUUCUAGAAGUGCAGACGUUUAGUUGUGAGAUUAUACAGCAGGAACAUUCAGUCUCUAAUUCAGAUGUUUGCAGUUGAAAAUGCAGCAAUUCAGGAAUCACCUGAAUCAAUUCAGACCAUUGCCGCAGAUGUCCUUGAACUGCCUCUCCUUCCACCUGAAGAUGUUGCCACUCCUUCAAAGCACAAACUUUCAGACCAGAGCAUGCAGCAAUCCAACAGAAGAUUUCGCCACUCCUUAAACUGCCACCACACACACCGAAUCGUCGGCCUUGAGCGAAGCCUGCUUGUUCCUCACAUCAAACGC